Molecule: long non-coding RNA, 852 nt
Organism: Oreochromis aureus
Lineage: Eukaryota; Metazoa; Chordata; Actinopteri; Cichliformes; Cichlidae
Source: Ensembl
GGAAAACAUCUGAUGUGACUUUCAGUCUUUCUCUAAAAAUCAAAUUAUCAGUGUAGAUAAUUGAUGCUGACAUACUACAUAUGAAAAAUAAGGUCAUGUUAUUUAUUUUAUUUACUUGCACAGAAAUCAGUCUCUAUUGUAAAUCACUGUAUUUCAUCACUGAAUAGAAUAGAAGAGAAUGUCUUUAUUGUCACUAUACAGAUGUACAACGAGAUACAGAGCAUCUCCUACUCAGUGCAAACAUGUUUGAGAAGAAAGGAGGGGUGGAGUGCACAGCUUCUGCAGCACUGCAUACAAGAGCCCAUCUAUGCAAACACCCCCAACAAACAGCCUUCACCUCGGCCGUCCAUGAGCGCAGCAGCGGUCAGCCUGAAGGCAGCUUCUUCCUUUCAAGACCUGCGGGCCCCGAGUCCUGCCAGCAGAUACGACGAAGGCAAACGGAGAUAUAAACACUGAACAAGUCACGGACCUCACAAACUAAUGCUACCAAAAGUCCUCACAGCUAAUUUCACUGGGACACUGAAAGAAACUCUUUUUCCUUUCAUUAUUGUCGGAUCUACAUUUUGUUCAUCUGGACUUCUGGUUUAGGGUUUUUUCAUUCAAACUGCACGUUUUUUAAAAUGUAUUCCUGCGCAGGUGAAGUAGCUUUUAUGAGCCACUAGAUGGCAGAUGAUGAAUGCGGUGUGAAUGUGUAAUUUCAUGUUUUUUUCCCUUAAUUUUUGUAUUUUAUUACUUGAUAUUGAAUAUGAUGAAUACUGAAUAUUUGAAAAUGUUUUCAAUAGCUUUUGAAUGGAGUAUGGAGAAGAUUUAUACACACAUAUGUAUAUUUUUGUAUGAUUUUUUUUAGAGGAG